AACGCUAGCUACAGGCUUAACACAUGCAAGUCGAGGGGAAACGAUAGAGAAAGCUUGCUUUUUCUAGGCGUCGACCGGCGCACGGGUGAGUAACGCGUAUCCAACCUGCCCACCACUUGGGGAUAACCUUGCGAAAGUAAGACUAAUACCCAAUGACGUCUCUAGAAGACAUCUGAAAGGGAUUAAAGAUUUAUCGGUGAUGGAUGGGGAUGCGUCUGAUUAGCUUGUUGGCGGGGUAACGGCCCACCAAGGCUACGAUCAGUAGGGGUUCUGAGAGGAAGGUCCCCCACAUUGGAACUGAGACACGGUCCAAACUCCUACGGGAGGCAGCAGUGAGGAAUAUUGGUCAAUGGGCGAGAGCCUGAACCAGCCAAGUAGCGUGCAGGAUGACGGCCCUAUGGGUUGUAAACUGCUUUUAUAAGGGAAUAAAGUGAGCCUCGUGAGGCUUUUUGCAUGUACCUUAUGAAUAAGGACCGGCUAAUUCCGUGCCAGCAGCCGCGGUAAUACGGAAGGUCCGGGCGUUAUCCGGAUUUAUUGGGUUUAAAGGGAGCGUAGGCCGGAGAUUAAGCGUGUUGUGAAAUGUAGGUGCUCAACAUCUGCACUGCAGCGCGAACUGGUUUCCUUGAGUACGCACAAAGUGGGCGGAAUUCGUGGUGUAGCGGUGAAAUGCUUAUAUAUCACGAAGAACUCCGAUUG
This 696-nucleotide ribosomal RNA is filed under the name uncultured bacterium. Its description in RNAcentral is "bacterial SSU rRNA". It matches the Rfam family "Bacterial small subunit ribosomal RNA", at positions 32 to 715 of the family's 1533-position model. The record is from RNAcentral.